RNAcentral lists this ribosomal RNA (142 nucleotides) under uncultured bacterium. RNAcentral describes it as "partial 16S ribosomal RNA". The record is from RNAcentral.
GCACGGUAGUUAGCCGGUGCUUCUUCUGCAGGUACCGUCACUUGCGCUUCGUCCCUGCUGAAAGAGGUUUACAACCCGAAGGCCGUCAUCCCUCACGCGGCGUCGCUGCAUCAGGCUUUCGCCCAUUGUGCAAUAUUCCCCA